UACGUAGGCAGCAAGCGUUGUUCGGAAUUACUGGGCGUAAAGAGUGUGUAGGCGGUGCUCUAAGUCUGUUGUGAAAUCUCCCGGCUUAACUGGGAGGGUGCGGCGGAAACUGGAGUGCUAGAGGGUGGGAGAGGAAAGCGGAAUUCCUGGUGUAGCGGUGAAAUGCGUAGAUAUCAGGAGGAACACCUGCGGUGUAGACAGCUUUCUGGACCACUUCUGACGCUGAGACACGAAAGCGUGGGUAGCAAACAGG
This 253-nucleotide ribosomal RNA is filed under the name uncultured bacterium. Its description in RNAcentral is "partial 16S ribosomal RNA". It matches the Rfam family "Bacterial small subunit ribosomal RNA", at positions 524 to 776 of the family's 1533-position model. The record is from RNAcentral.